Molecule: ribosomal RNA, 251 nt
Filed under: uncultured bacterium
Lineage: Bacteria
Description: partial 16S ribosomal RNA
Rfam family: Bacterial small subunit ribosomal RNA
Source: RNAcentral
UACAGAGGUCUCAAGCGUUGUCCGGAAUCAUUGGGCGUAAAGCGUGUAGGCGGCCCGGUAAGUCCGCUGUGAAAGUCGGGGGCUCAACCCUCGGAUGCCGGUGGAUACUGUCGGGCUCGAGUACGGAAGAGGCGAGUGGAAUUCCUGGUGUAGCGGUGACAUGCGCAGAUAUCAGGAGGAACACCUAUGGCGAAGGCAGCUCGCUGGGACGGUAUUGACGCUGAGACGCGAAAGCGUGGGGAGCGAACAGG